RNAcentral lists this transfer RNA (63 nucleotides) under Histeridae sp. BMNH 1274745. RNAcentral's name for it is "tRNA-Ser". The record is from RNAcentral. Lineage: Eukaryota; Metazoa; Arthropoda; Insecta; Coleoptera; Histeridae.
GAAAUAUAGACAAAAGAAGCUUCUAACUUACUUUUCUAGCGGUGAGACUCCGUUAAUAUUUCU